UGUUCACUGUAUAAGUUAUUCAUAUUUGCAAAAUAAGGAAAAAUCCAAAAGAACCGCUUGACAAAGACUAUCUUGCCGGCCCCAGAGCUGAGUCUUCGGUAGUCUGUUCCAUAGUUUAUGAAGCCAGCUGCUUCUGGUUGAUGGUUAGACCAUGACUUGUGUGGACACGAGCCUACUGCCAUACUUAAUUUGCCAAUAAAUGUGAUCUCUGGACAGAGGUAUUGUGUGUUGGUAAAUAACUGCAAUAGAUAAAGUCUCUGUAAAUCUUCAUUUUCCAGGAGAAGUGUUGUGAGCAGGAAGGCAAACUUGUGUCAUAAUGUCCAUUUCUUUUUUUCUUUUUUUUUUUUAAGAUUUUAUUAUUUUACUCAGAGAGGCACAGAGAGAGAGAGGCAGAGACAUGGGGAAGAGGGAGAACAGGCGUCCCAUAAAUGUCCAUUUCAUGGUCAGUUUUUGAUAUCUGGAAGUAUGAGUCUUCCUUAUUUGUUCUUCUUUUCCAAGAUGGUUUUGUCUAUUAAUGUCCCUUGUGAUUCCAAACAACUGGUGCCAGUUGUAUCAUUUGUUGCAAAGAUUUUCCUUUGGCCACUGAUUUGCCUUUGCUCUUUUGUCAAGGAUCAGCUGACCCGUCUGUGCAAGUGUUAUUUCUGGGCUAUCGAUUCUGUCCUACUGACUGUUGUUUCAUCAAUAUCACACCGUUUAGUUACCCAUAGGUUAAUUAAUUACUAUAGAUUUUUUAUAUGUAGCACUCUUUUCAUUGUGGGGUUAUGUAGUUGGGACCAAAGGAUUUUAUUCUUGUUUGCAAGCUUGGACCUUAUUAACUAUAGCUCAGGAAAGAAUUGAGCAUCAGAAUAAACCUGGAUUAACUCUACCUUAGAUUUUUAUAACAUAUAGGUAGUUUAGAAAAAUCAGAUAAAAGUUGAUUGUGAAUUAAUAAGAUUUUAUAAACACUGGAAAUAUGCAGAUUAAGUGGCUAAAACUUUUUCCAAUUGACAGAUUGAUUUUUAGAGCAUUUUUAUGUUUACAGAAAA
Molecule: long non-coding RNA, 1025 nt
Filed under: Canis lupus familiaris (dog)
Lineage: Eukaryota; Metazoa; Chordata; Mammalia; Carnivora; Canidae
Description: lncRNA (ENSCAFG00000055846.1)
Source: RNAcentral